UAAUUUUUUUUUGAUUUUUUGGGCAUUUUUGCCCCUUUUUCUUCAUUUUUUGGGCCUUUUUUUGCCCCUUUUUCUUGAUUUUUUUUUUUAAUUUUUUGGCCAUUUUCUUUGCCCUUUUUCUUGAUUUUUUGGGCCUUUUUUGCCCCUUUUUCUUGAUUUUUUUCUUGAUUUUUUUCUUGAUUCUUUGGGCCUUUUUUUGCCCCUUUUUCUUGAUUUUUUUCCCUUAUUUUCCCCCUUUUUCCUAAUUUUUUUUUUAAUUUUUCCCCCUUUUUUUCCCCCUUUUCCCCAACAUUUUUUUUCCUGCCUUCCCCCCCAUAUUUUUUACCCCUUUCCUGCCUUUUUUCAACCCAAAACUCCCGGGAGUUGCCAAAGUUUUUUCAACACCUGCAGCACAAAAGGCAGAAUUCGUUAAAAGCACAACACAACCCCCCCCUCUCCCCCCCAUACUCACCUCCAAACUGCCCCAAAAAGCAGCUUUUUCCCCCCAAAAAUCCGAAUUCUCGAGGCUUUCACUCACACACACCAACCCAAACCACAAUAUUCUCAUUUUUCCACCAGUUUUCCACCAUUCUUGGACCAUUUUUAACCAAUAAACCGAUUUUUUUGGUGAUUUUAAGCACCCAGGACUUGCCAUUUUUGACUCCAGGUUGCCCAAAGCGGCGCCUUUUGGCCCCAAAACCGACACCACCCAUUUUUUGGGGGUUUUAUUUUCUUUCUGCAGUGACCUCAAAAUGCACCUUUCGGCCUCUUUUUUGGGGUUUUUUUUUUGGCCUUUUGUUUCCUGCCGGGACCAGAGGCUGGAGGGGACCUUUGGCACCUUUAAAUCACUUUAUUUUUCCUUUAAAUUUCUUAUUUUCAAUCAUUUCUUUCCAUUUUAACCCUUUCAAUCAUUUAAGGAUUUCCACUCUUCUUUUACCUCAGUGGUUUUUUCACCCAAAUACCUUUUUUUUAACCUAA
RNAcentral lists this long non-coding RNA (957 nucleotides) under Manacus vitellinus (golden-collared manakin). RNAcentral's name for it is "lncRNA (ENSMVIG00005013384.1)". Lineage: Eukaryota; Metazoa; Chordata; Aves; Passeriformes; Pipridae. The record is from RNAcentral.